This 4609-nucleotide long non-coding RNA is filed under the name Hordeum vulgare. Its description in RNAcentral is "long non-coding RNA (HVUL_LNC008287)". Lineage: Eukaryota; Viridiplantae; Streptophyta; Magnoliopsida; Poales; Poaceae. The record is from RNAcentral.
GGCAAGGACGUCGCCGGUGGCUCUGCACCUAUACCUGGACCAGGUAAUUAACAUCUUUCUUGUCUCCAUAUCCGUUGCAUACUCGUGGUUGUGUAUCUGAUUCAAGCAUGGUGUGAUCUGCCAUGGGAAUAGCUAUAUAAGAAUUUUUGUCAUGUAUUUACAUUACCUCUGAUGAAACAUCUGAGAUUGGAGGUGGAAAUUUGAACAUACCAGCUGCUCUGCUGAUCGACGUGACUGGUACCAAGAAUUACCACCAAAACCACACACUAUUUGUUAGUAACAUUGGAUAUCGAUUUUAAUGUGAGCAUGACCGGGAUGCAUGUUGAUAGAGCUCCUAAUGGCAAACUCUGCGCUUCUCUUUUCAGAUUCGGUAUCACCCCCGAUCCGUACAGAGAUUCUCUCAAGUGCUAACAAGUGCUCGAUGCCUGUAGGUAUGGUGCUCUCAUCCUGCUUCCACCCCCUGGCAUUCAAAUGUAGAGAGAGGCUUUGGAGCUUAGGCAUUGCUUCGGCUUGGAAGGUCAGUUGUGGCAUGAUAGUCCCGUAGACAACCAACCGCUUCAGGAGUGCGAAUGCUCUCCCAUAGAUGACAAUUGUUUCUUCCACGGCUCUAUUGAACGUUAAGUCUAGGUCGUUAAGGGCGGGUAACGCCCCAAGAAUACCAACAUCAUCCUUCUCUAGUUUAUCAACAGUGAUAUGCAAGCUCUGGAGGUUAUGCAGUUCCCUAAUCCAGUUUGGGACCCGGGAUAUUCGCAUCAUGGAGAGUCCCAUGAGGUUGGGGGGAGGAGGCGACAAGGUUAGUGCCUCAGGUAUCCAAGAAUCAGGUGAAAAUACGUUCAGGGAGUCGAGGUUACAAAGUUUCCCCAAAGAAGAGUUUAGAACAUUCAUGUCCACAUCUUCAGAAAAACCAGUUCUCAGGUACAGAAGUCUCAGAUUGGUGAGCUCUCCUAGGCCCUUGAUACUGUCGGUUGAGGUGUGCAGCGUGUCAAACCAUCUCAGACGCUGUAGGGAUGUCAUUUUACCGAUGCCCUCAGGCAACAAACACGGCAGGUGAAAAAUAUGCAGAGACAACAAGCAUGGCAGGUGAAAAAUAUCCAUUGGGAUACAUGACCCAUCUAUAUCAAAUGUUUCCAACUUGUGUAGCCCUCUAAUCUUCGUUGGUAGCUGGCAGUUAUCACAGCCUUCAAUCUGUAUAUGGCGGAGCUGAUAUAACUUACACAAUCCUGUUAGGUUGAUUUUCCGAUUGUCAUCAACAGAACUAGAACUAAAGUCAGCAAUAAAAACACGAAGAUACUUGAAUUCUGCCAGUGGAGGUAUAUUCGUGGAGCCUCUCCAGUUUGCAAAUGAUCGUACUUGUGACAUACUAAUAUCCCUUGGCAAUGUUGCACCAUCUAAGUUGAACAACAUCCGACGGGGCUUUUGAAGCCGUCCUGUAACGGUCUCUGGGUUGUCUACUACAGUGAUAAAAUUCUCUUCUGCGGACUUGUACAAGAUAAGAUCCAACAACAUAUCAUGUACUUUGCAAGUUAACACUGACCCAUUCAUGUCAAUCUGUACAGGUUGAAUAAGACUCAUGUUGACAAGCUCAUUGAAAUAACUUAUCGCGGUCUGUUUUGGAUUUUGUCCAUGUGCUUUACUAACAAAACCUUCAGAAACCCAUAGGCUUACCAACUCGUGCCUAUAUAUUUCAGAGUCCUCCAGAAACAUACCAAGAUACAAGAAGCAUGUCUUGAGAUGGUGAGGAAGAUUUUUGUAGCUAAGGUUCAAGAUUUGUCUCAUUGCUUCCAAGGUAAGAUUUGUGCCAGACACUGACCCCAGUGAACUGAGUACAUGUUUCCACCUGUCCAUUUGGUUGUAACUUUCACUUGCUAACAGGCUGGAUAUGCUAAUGAUUGCAAGUGGCAAACCAGCACACUUCUUGAGAAUCUCAACUGAAACAUCUCUGAGUUGGCCAGGACAUGCUUCUUCAGAGGAAAAUAUCCUACCAAAAAAUAAUUUCCUUGAGUCUUUUUCACUAAGAGGUUUCAUUUCAAGAAUGUGCUCACGGUGACCGUAACAACAUGCCCCAGCCACAGUCCUAAUUCUUGUAGUCACUAUUAAUCUACUACAAUGAUCAUUUUCUGGGAAAGCACAUUUAAUAAUAUUCCAUGCUGAUACAUCCCAUAGAUCAUCGAUAAUAACCAAGUACCUGCAAGGAAAUCAGUACAGCAGUAAGUAACUAAUAGAAAAAUAUCGAAUAUUUCAGCAGGUUCAAGGUAGAUGAAAAAUAUUUGUUAUCAAAUUAAAUAUUCAUUCUCGUAUAGAAGAACAUAAUAUUAAAUCAUUUAAGGAAAUCUAAGUAUCAGAGGCACAUGUAAACAACAAUAAUAUACAAACUAAAAAUAAGUACCUCUUGUUUUUUAGAUUUUCUCUGACUCGGCCGAGAAGAAUAUUUAACUCACAGUCAUGAAAAUAUUGUCGAUACCCAAGUUGGGUUAAUAAAUUAUGCAGAAGUUUUGGCAUAUUUGGCUUUUGAGACACCGACAAAAAUGCACCACACUGAAAUUCCCCCUCCAGCUUAUGGUAUACCUGAUUGGCAAGUGUUGUUUUCCCCAAACCUCCAAAACCAACAACUGAUACAAUCUUCAACUUCUUCUCGUCAUCUUUUAGCCAAUUGACAAGCCCAUUGGUUGGGCCCUCCAUACCAACAAGUUUAGAUGCAUUUUCAUAGAGUGCCACAACGCGUUGGUCAACUGCCACAUUGCCCGAUUGGGGGAAAUCUAUCUUAUAUCUUUCACGCCGCUCACUUGUUUCACGCACAAGUUUCUUGAUGUCCCCAAUCUGCCCUGCGAUCUGAUGGCGGGCCCUUGAAGUUUUGAGGCGUUGAACGGUGUCGUGGACAAACCCAGAUUUUUUGCUUUUCUCCGCAAUUUUGCACAUGAAGUCAUUGAUAAUAUCCUCGAUGUCAUAUGACAUCUCCCUGACCACGUCCCUCCAGCUCGCGGUCUGUUUAUCCAGUACAUCCACAUCCGCAAGGCUCUCUAGAGCAUCCUUCAUACUGCUCAGCUCAUCGCUGAUGUACUUAACCUCCUUCCUCAAGUUCUUUAGCUUGGCGAACUCCUCCCCCAUCAGGGUGGCCAGCUUACCCAGGAGAGAGUUCAUUACCCCGGUUGAAGCGCUCACCAUUAUUCCAGUCAUCUCUGGCUGGACAAGUAUUUAUCUUUGCUCUCUAGUUAUACAUGUGAUGCACCUGAAACAUUUAAACAACCAGCUGAAUGAAUAAGGUUUCUGUACCAAAAAGGCCAAGAAACAAAUGGGGCUCGUUUCCUCCUUUUCAAAAAAAAAAAAAAACAAAGAAGUUCUAUUCGUGACGAUUUCAGAGAGGACCAUGUAGUUUGGAUGGUUGGAUAGGGCAUCAUCCUCUUUUCCAGGUUUUCCCCAGAUUUUGUAAUUGAACCUUCAGCCAAAAUACUACAGUAUACGCAGUUUUUACAUGAGGCGAAGAUAGACAGAGUUAUAGACAUUUUCGUCGAUAGGAUACCUUGACUACAUGGCAGAACCCGGAAGCAAUUACGCAGCUAGGUGAGCCUGUAAAGUGAACCUGAUAGGUUCAAGUGGCUUUUAACUAAAUCGGGACAACUCUCUGUCAGGCCCUUGAAUCAUUCUUUGAUUCUGAAGCUACUGGAUUUUCCUUGCAAGUUGAUUUCAAGGUUCCCUUAAUGAUCAAACUGGUUUGUUGGUGGUUGGUGGUCGGAAACCGAAUUCUGACUCUCUGUCGCAUCGUAAACACCUGGGCAAAACUUCAGAAAGGCAGCACAACGGCGACACCGCUGAGACUGGCGACCUAAUCUCGAACGCCAGAUCCACCCGGCUGGGGAUUUACCCUCUUUUCGAAAGAAAAGAGAAAAAUAGAUCCAGCCCGAGAUAUAAAAUCAUACUCCGACUAACUAACCUCCAGAAUAAAAUGCAAACAUCUGAAGACAAAAAAAAUUACUUCCUCCCUAACUAAAUACUUGUCGCUGUGAGAAGUAUAUAAAAUUAGAAGACGGCGACUGGACUGGAGGCAUGGAGACAGACCUGAGCAGGUUGCUGAAACAAUGGAGCAGCAGCAUGCAGUUUCCCGAUGGAGAGGUAGAUGAACAGCCGAGCCGACGUAGGCGCGGUAGCAGGUGGUGUGGUGAGGGGGGAACCGGAGAAGCAGAAGCAGCGUGGAUAGAUGGAUGGAGAAGCAGAAGCCGCUGGUUGAGAAGGGGCGAGGAAGCUCAACGCUGGUUGAGAAGGCUGGUUGAGUCCGUGGCGGGCCAGGGUAUCCUCAUCCUCUUGCAUUUUCUUUGUUCUGUUUAGCUCCUCCUAUUCUCUCAUAUUUCUGAGCUAAGCCUGUCUUUGCUAAUCUCUCAGAUUUUUUUUGUUUUCUGUUUUUUCAUGUUCAGGUCUUGGAGCAUCUAAGACCGGACUCCCUGUACUAUAUGAACCGUGAAUGAGAGAUGUGGAUCAGUCCGGGCAUAUAAAGGUCGUUUGAGUAGAGCGUAUCUUCAUCCUGUAGAAUGGUAUGAUUUCGCAAAUUAUGCAUGUUCAGCUUAGUGCAAAAGCAACGUGACGAUUUUUGGUCAAAAUGACUGGAGCUCCUAUUUAC